Molecule: RNA transcript, 11055 nt
Organism: Nerophis ophidion (straightnose pipefish)
Lineage: Eukaryota; Metazoa; Chordata; Actinopteri; Syngnathiformes; Syngnathidae
Gene name: zinc finger protein 239-like
Exons: 4
Source: RefSeq, a predicted model, not a curated record
GUGUGCCAACUGUCGUGAAAGCACAUCGACGCAGAAAGCCGCGAGCAGGACGCUAAUAAGUCAGUAUUAUUAUUUGUUCUCCAGUUUGAAAUAUUUACGUCGUAUAAAAUACAUCUUUGAUUAUUUAGUAAAGGAUAAAGUCGUCUCAACGCGCUAGAAGCACUGUGCACUCGUGCUAUCUUUACUUGUUAGUUAGCUUAGCUCGCUAGUUAGCUUAGCUUGUUAGCUGCUAACAGAAGACACAGACGUUAUCAACACAUCGCUAAGUAGAGAUCAAGUGUGAGAGUAAAGUGUUGUGAUUGUGUGAAAAUGUCUACAUUACAAAUGUUGAGAGCGUUGGUGGAUCAGCGACUAACUGCUGCCGUUGAAGAAAUAUUUGUAGUGUUAGAAAGAAUGAUAGCAGAAUACGAGGCUGAACUUUCUAGAACAAAAGAGGAGAACAAUCAACUACUGGACGCUCUUUUCACGAAACAUCAAGUUGUGUUACACAAAAGAGACGUCGAUGAAGAACCUUUACCUCAUAAGCAGGAGGAGGAACCACAGUCCUCCAACAUACAUGAGGAAGAAGAGGUACCACAAUCCCAACAUUUUAAAGAGGGAGGAGAGGAGCCACAGCCCCCCCACAUUAAAGAGGAACAUGAGACGCCACAGACCCGUAGUGUUAAACUGACCCUUCACAUUAAAGAGCAAGAGGAGGACCCACUGAUCCCUCACAUUAACAAGGAAGAGGAGGACCCACUGACCCCCUACUUUAAAGAGGAAGAGGAGGAACACCGCAUCAGUCAGCCUAAAUGGUUGGAGGAGUUCUCAGUGACUGGUGUCCCUGUGAAGAGUGAUGAUGAUGUGGUCAAAGGUGAAAGUGAGGAGAGGGGAGGGGGGGAGCCUCCAAGCAGCAGCUCAACACAACACAUGACAACAGAAGCUGAUGGAGACCACUGUGGAGGAUCACAAGCAGACAAGCUCUUAGCUCCACUAUCAGAUAGUGAGGACACAACGUCACACUCUCCUGACACUGAUGAUGAAGACUCUAAAGAUGAUAAGACAUGUCACACUGACAACACUCACUUCACAUGUUCUCACUGUGAAAAAACUUUUAAAUCUCCUAGGAAUUUGAAAAGACACAUGACAACACACACUGGAGAAUACCCCUUUACCUGUUCACUCUGUAGUAAAGGUUUUGCACAAAGUUACACUUUGAAAGUGCACAUGAGAACGCACACCGGUGAAAAACCUUAUAUCUGUUCAGUCUGUGGUAAAGGUUUUACAGAAAGUCAAAAUUUGAAAGUACACAAGAGAACACACACUGGUGAAAAACCUUUUUCUUGUUCAAUCUGUGGUAAAGGUUUUACACAAAAUCAAAAUUUGAAUGUACACAAGAGAACACACACUGGUGAAAAACCUUUUUCCUGUCCAAUCUGCAACAGAAGCUUUUGUGACCAAUCAAACUUUGUAGCACACAUGAGAAGACACACAGGAGAGAAAGUGUUGAGUUGCAGUGUGUGUGGUGAAAGAUUCUCUUCUAAGUAUCAGUGUAAGAAACACAAGUGUGCUGGUGAGAACAGCAGCAGCAAAUGAAACUGCAGGAUUUGAAAUAAAUUGUCCAGACUUUAAUUUUGACUUUCUAACAACAUCUGCACAUGUAACAUGUGUGACAUUGUUGUUUUUGUAACAAUUUGUUUAAUAUGCUUCUACAUUCAUAAAUUAGAUAGUUUGAAAUAUGAGAAUAUUACAUAUUUGUAUUUGUAUUUGUUAAUAAUCCAUAGAUUUGCACCUUUAAAUGAUAUAUUGUACAUAUUUACUGGUUCACAUCUGAAACAUCUUCUGGACCACUUCAGGGAGCAUAAUAUUAUUUACUUUAUACAUCAUUUGAACAGUUGUCUUUUAUUCACUUUUAAAAUGUGUGACUUCAGGAAUUUUUGGGGGGUUUCUAUAAUCCAUUUUAUUAAUUAUCUUCAUUACUCUCUUUUGUAAUAUGAUGAUUGUGCUGUGAUUAUUUUGUAUGUAUGUCCCCAGACCUUUAUGCAGUACAAAAGUUAGAGAAAAUUGCUGAAUUGUUUGUGGAAGGAUGUUUAUUUUAGUUAAUUUAAUUAAUUAAUUUAUUUUUUUACAAACUUAUGUUCGUGGAUAAGACAAAAAUUCCCAUUAUUGGGUUUUAAACAUUUUAAAUAUGUUGUAUUUUUAAACAUCCCCAAAACAAUAUCAAUAUCAAUCAAAGUUCGGAGUGUCAGGCAAAAGCCAGAAUUGUACAUCAUCCCACAGAGAUUUACUUUGCAUUACGUUGGAGCCAAAUUUCCUUAUUUGUUUAUUUAAUUUUUAUUUGGUUUUCUCUAUUUGAUUGCUGGCCUCUGUUGAUGCUGAAUUUCCUUUUUGGCAGAUUGCUCCGCCCACUUCAUCUUGAAUACCAGGAAGUGUUGACAAGGAUGGGACCGUUGCUAUGGUGCGGUUGCCAUGGUAAGGUCAUUUAAUCGGGUUCAGGUGGGAGUACUCUGAGGGCCGAUUGCAUGGAGGACACAAACAGUUUAAGACCGUGCCGUGCGUGGUCAGGUCUCGCUACUGUGACAAUGUUCCAUUCAAGCCAAGGUCAGCAUACAUUAUGUUCUAUAGCCUACAUUUGAUUUCAUUUUGAUAGCUUGGAAUAAACGGAUUGUCAUAUGCAAACAUAUUUCCACAGUACUUGACAUUGAAUCAUUUGCAUGCGUCAAACUGGUCAACACAGUCGCCCUCAGUAUCAGCUUAAAGGUAAAGGCUGUACAACAAUACCAAAAUGUACAGUAACGCCCACAAACACUUGCACUUUGUCAGCAAAGUUCUUGUAAAAAAGAAAAGAAUGUUGCUGAGCUAAUGCCCCGCCUAUCCUCCCCCGAGCCACUAACGACUUCAUCUGGGACACAAAGGACAAGACAAAAAGUGAAAGACAGACAUAAAAUGUAUGCAUCCUUUCUAACGGCCACUGGGGGGCAGUAGAGGUAACUAUUCCAGCAAGGUUUUACAAAGUGUUUUACAAGGUCUGACUCAAAUUGCCUACCUGGUCUGUGUGACUACACUCUGGCAAGCCAUGUUGUCUGAUAUAGUCCUCAAACAUACAUUUUGCUACUGUAAAGGCACGCUGGAAAAAGUUGACAUAGCGUGUAAAGUAGUCCAUGACCACAAGUGCACACCUGUUGCUCUAAGAUGUGACAGGUAACUCAGUAAUAUUCAUAGCAGCAGAUCCUAUCAUGUUGAAAUGUACCAUCUUUAUCUUUCAUGAUGGUCACUGCGCUUAAGCAGCUUGGAUCAAGCGUCCAGUCAAUGUUUGGCUUUACCGUGUCUAAUUUCAGAUAUUUCACUUUCCUUUUCUUGGAUGCUUUGCCCCCAGAAGAUUCAGCCUCACACUUUUCCCCUGCUCCCACUUUUAGUACUAUGGCCACAGCGAGUCGAUCAGAUGAAUUGUUUCAGCUUUAGUUUUUACUUCCUGAUCCAACCCUGACUUGGAAUUUAACCCUGGAUUGGAAUUUAACCCAUGCAAGACAGAACUGCCAAAUUUGAAUGACUAUCACAAACAGAAAGAAAACUACAACAUCGGUGAAGUCAGCACAAAGCGUCAGAUGGACACAACAACUGUGCCAAGAGCCAAGGUCAAAUAUUUUCUUGUGCUUGGAGACGGCACCAUAUCUAACAUUAACAUACACACUGUGAUGUAACAUUAUUCGGUAUUAAGAAGGGACCCUUAUUUUGAAGGCAAGUUGCUCCUUCCUCUGGUUUCCGGAAGUCUGCGCGUGACAGUCUGACGCUCACUUGUUUACACACGAGACGUAUUUACGUGAUUCAGCGCUUAAAGUUUGUUUUGUCUUCCACGAAGUGCCCUGGAAACAUUGUCUCACAUCCCUCCUUCUUUCGGCUUCUUGGACGUAAUGAUGUAACUACAUACGUACGUAACACAUGCAUUAGCUUUGGUUGUUGUUAGCUAAUAAUAGUGAUUUGGAUAGUUAAAUUGAAUGUAAAUCCUAUCUUAACAGUAAGAUUAAUUGCAAAUUGUUUGUUGCCUCUCUUGGACAGCUUUUUUACAUGUUCACCUGUCUGCACGUACGUGUCACCAGACAGGGUGAGUGACCGCCGUAAACACCAAUAAUUUUAUACGGACUGGUAAAAUGUUUUAUUAUAUAACCUUAAUAAUUGUAAAAGUAAUAGUCUUAAUGCCACAGUGCUGAACAACGAUCUGCCUAUAUCAAACCUGCCAUUUUUGGGUAAAAUCCUGAAAAAAGGUAUCUCCCAAAUCUGGUGAUGUGCAAUACCACUGAUUUUUUUUCAGAUCCGAUAACAAGUAAUAUCCAGGCUGGUAUCGGCAAUACGGGUCUAAUACUGAUACUAUGCGCAAAUAUACUCAAUGGGUCUGGUAAUGUUUAAAAAGUAGUGUAUUUUAAGUGCUGCUGAUCUUGGGGAAUCAUCUUCAAACGAUAUAAAGUCAGAGGGCGAAACAAAUAAUGGUGUUAUUCUGCAUUAAAUGCAUUAUCUUGUCUAUAUUCAAUUCUGUAUGAAGUGUAUUCAAAUAGUCUACAUAAAAGGAAACAUACAUUUGCUGUUAUAUAAUACUGAGUGACUCAUUUCACCUGCCGGUAAUUUUCUUAAAUAAACAAUUGACCGACUGAAUGACUGAGCACAGCACAAUGUGCCGCUGCGCUACGUACUUACCUCUGCGGGUGAAAAAAUAGUUCCCACCAUCCACGUUUCAUUUUGACAAGAUCUCAGUGAUUUAGUAACUUUUCAGUGUGUUCAUGUUAAUGAUAUAUAUUAUCUAAAAUAAAGUAUCAAAACUAUCAAUAUUGUGACUCGAAAAUCGAUAUUAGAGCAUAGAGAGCUGGUAUCGGCCAUAUUGAAAUUUCAGUAUCGAUCUGUACAUCACUACCAAAAGGUUGGUGACUUUUUCCUAUUUAACAAUGUGUUUGAUACUUUCCAAUCAGGCUUUAGGUCCCACCACAGAAGUGAAACAGUGAUAAGGUGACAAAUGAUAUCGGCUUGUAAACGGAUGCAGGACAAGUCCCAGUCUUGGUUCUGCUGGACUUGAAGGCUGCCUUUGACACAGUUGACCAUACUAUCUUAUUACAGAGGUUAGAAAACUGGGUGGGAAUAUCCACUUCUAAGAACUGGUAACUUUGUUUCUGACCAAAGGGUUAUGACCUGUGGGGUUCCUCAGGGCUCUAUUCUGGGACUCUAUUGUUCAACGUGUACAUGCUGCAACUUGCACACCUUGACACUGAAUAUUCAUGAAAGACAUAACAAGGCCGCCAUUGUUUAUUCAUUUUAAUAAGUGGUAUGACCGUGUGAGAACUUCUGUAACUAAGACAAAUCUACAUGUGUGACACUUUUAGCCUAGUGAGAAUGUUUCAUACCACCCAGCCACCAAUGUACGUGACACGGUUGGACGGUAAGGGACAGUUCUGAGGUGGUGUUCAGUCAUGCUGGACAAGAACUUUUGGCACCACCUCAAAGGCAUCUGGAAUGUUGUCCUCCGAGUCUUUCGUCAUAGGGAGGAUCUUAGUGUUGUCUUGUGCUGUGACAUUUCCAGUUUUGCUGGGUUCAAUGCCACAGUGUACAGCCAGCUUGGCAUAGAUUGAGUGGAAUUGCUGUGUGUUGGCAUUGUUGUUGCAGCCUCCUGUUUAUAAUAAGAGAAGAGUACAUAAAUACGAUUGUGCAUUAGCAACCUCAUCUUACAUUCUUUUUGGCAUUUCCAUAUAUAGUUAUUAAUAUUGUAUUUCUUGAAAUGUCUUAUGCCUAUAUAAAAGAUGAAACAAUUAAAAUAUUUCUCUUCAUUUCAUAUUUUCAAUUAUCAACACACAGCACAUGAUUUAUGAAGGUAAACAAAUGUAACGAACAAUCCUUGACGUGAUUAAAUGAGUGAGUCGUUAAAAUAUAUAUUUGGUAUCAUUUUAUAGUUAAAGUCCCAAUGAUAGUUAUACACACACACUAGGUGUGGUGAAAUUAUCUUCAGCAUUUGACCCAUUCCCAUGUUCACCUCCUAGGAGGUGAGGGGAGCAGUGAGCAGCAGUGGCCAUGCUCAGGAAAUAUUUUGGUGAUUUAACCCCCAAUUCCAACCCUUGAUACUGAGUGCCAAGCAGGGACGUAAUGGGUCGUAUUGUUUAAGUGUUUGGUAUGACUCGGCCGGGUUUGAACUCAAGACCUUCCAGUCUCAGGGCGGACACUCUAACCACAGGGCCACUGAGUAUGUCUUAUAGAUCCGUUUACAGUGCACAAUAAAUCUGAUUUAUUUUUAUGCCCUCAAGUGACAAAGAUCUGAAUUUUUUUGACAGUCCAAAUGCUUCAAAAUCCUUCUAAUAUGAUGUUUUGGCAUCAGAUUGAGGCCACAUCAGGGGGUAGUCCUGAAUACGAUUGGAAUCUGAUCUUUUUAAGAGUGACUUCAUUCUAAACGCAAUGCGACAAGAAUGUGACUUUCUUUUCAGCUUUGGGCGAGCUACGUCAUUCGUGUGUGCCGUGGAUAUUUGUGGAUAUUUUAACCACAACACCCGGUUUUGGUGAGCAAAGUCUAUUUAAGUCGAUUACAUUUUCGGUGCAUCACUUGUCAGUAGUGCGCAAAUAGUAGGCUAUAUGUAAUAUAUACAUUUAUUUGUAUAUAUUAUUUACUUUGAUUCCAAAGAAAUAGCAAUUGUCGAAGGACCGGAAUUCACUCUGUGGCGAGUUGAAAAAUAAAGCUCCUGUAGAUCCACGCUGAUGUCCGUGUCUCCUCUACUUAACAGCCAUUAAAAGAUUACAACCCUCCCAAAUAUAUUACACUACAUACAUCCAUUCAUACAUUAUAUUACUUUCAUUUACUUUCACGUAAAAAAAACACUCAUUUUGAAGGUGUUGCGACUUUCAUUUUAUUUUGUGGUAGUAGCGAAUUCCUCCCGGUCAACUUUACUAAUAAAAUAUGAACUUCACAGCUAAAAAACAACGGCGGACAUGAAUUGUAGAUGAGACUAAUAUUUGUAGCAGGAGAAAAACUGCUAAAAAACGUAUCAUUUUCCUCAUUAGCGUCACGAUCUCAGCACCACAAAUAAAUCCAACUUUGUCUUACACGGAUAAAUGGGUUGUACUUGUAUAGCGCUUUUCUACCUUCAAGGUACUCAAAGCGCUUUGACACUACUUCCACAUUUACCCAUUCAUACACACAUUCACACACUGAUGGAGGGAGCUGCCAUGCAAGGCGCCAACCAGCACCCAUCAAGAGCAAGGGUGAAGUGUCUUGCUCAGGACACAACGGACAUGACGAGGUUGGUUCUAGGUGGGAUUUGAACCAGUGACUCUCGGGUUGCGCACGGCCACUCUCCCACUGCGCCACGCCGUCCCAUAUGAAUAUGAAUAUUUUAAUUAGUGGAACCCUCAGAUUUGAAGACAUUGGUGCAUCUAAUGGUUUAUUCUCUAAAUCCUUGUGAGUGUCAAAUGAAGUGAGGUCGCUGAUGAUAAAUGAUUUAAAUCUCUGAGCUGCUAUCUUACCGUGGUAGAGGAGUUUGCGUGUCCCAAUGAUCCUAGGAGCUAUGUUGUCUGGGGGCUUUCAUGCCCCCUGGUAGGGUCUCCCAAGACAAACAGGUCCUAGGUGAGUGAUCAGACAAACAGCAGCUCAAAGACUUCCAUGGAAUUACAACAAAAUGAACCCAGAUUUCCCUCGCCCGGACGCGGGUCACCGGGGCCCCGCUCUGGAGCCAGGCCCGGAGUUGGGGCACGAUGGCGAGCGCCUGGUGGCCGGGCCUGUCCCCAUGGGGCCCGGCCGGGCACAGCCCGAAGAGGCAACAUGGGUCAUCCCUCCAAUGGGCUCACCACUCAUGGGAGGGGCCAUAGAGGUCGGGUCCAAUGUGAGCUGGGCGGCAGCCGAAGGCAGGGCACUUGGCGGUCCGAUCCUCGGCUACAGAAGCUAGCUCUUGGGACGUGGAACGUCACCUCACUGGGGGAGAAGGAGCCUGAGCUAGUGCGCGAGGUAGAGAAGUUCCAGCUGGAUAUAGUCGGACUCACCUCGACGCACAGCAAGGGCUAUGGAACCAGUUUUCUCGAGAGGGACUGGACUCUCUUCCACUCUGGCGUUGCCGGCAGUGAGAGGCGACGGGCUGGGGUGGCCAUUCUUGUUGCCCCCCGGCUCAAAGCCUGCACGUUGGAGUUCAACCCAGUGGACGAGAGGGUAGCUUCCCUCCGCCUUCGGGUGGGGGGACAUGUCCUCACUGUUGUUUGUGCUUACGCACCAAACAGCAGUUCAGAGUACCCACCCUUUUUGGGUACACUCGAGGGAGUACUGGAAAGUGCUCCCCCGGGGGAUUCCCUUGUCCUACUGGGGGACUUCAACACUCAUGUUGGCAAUGACAGUGAAACCUGGAGAGGCGUGAUUGGGAAGAAUGGCCGCCCGGAUCCAAACCCAAGUGGUGUUUUGUUAUUGGACUGUUGUGCUCGUCAUGGAUUGUCCAUAACAAACACCAUGUUGAAACAUAAGGGUGUCCAUAUGUGCACUUGGCACCAGGACACCCUGGCCGCAGUUCCGUGAUCGACUUUGUAGUUGUGUCAUCGGAUUUGCGGCCUCACGUUUUGGACACUCGGGUGAAGAGAGGGGCGGAGCUUUCUACUGAUCACCACCUGGUGGUGAGUUGGCUGCGAUGGUGCGGGAAGAUGCCGGACAGACCUGGCAGGCCCAAGCGCAUUGUGAGGGUCUGCUGGGAACGUCUGGCAGAGUCUCCUGUCAGAGAGAGUUUCAAUUCCCAUCUCCGGAAGAACUUUGAACAUGUCAGGAGGGAGGUGCGGGACAUUGAGUCCGAGUGGACCAUGUUCCGAACCUCUAUUGUCGAGGCGGCUUAUUGGAGCUGUGGCCGCAAGGUUGUUGGUUUCUGUCGUGGCAGUAAUCCCAGAACCCGUUGGUGGACACCAGCAGUGAGGGAUGCCGUCAAGCUGAAGAAGGAGUCCUAUCGGGUUCUUUUGGCUCAUAGGACUCCGGAGGCAGUGGACGGGUAUCGACGGGCCAAGCGGUGUGCAGCUCCAGUGGUCGCGGAGGCAAAAACUCGGACAUGGGAAGAGUUCGGGGAAGCCAUGGAAAAAGACUUCCGGACGGCUUCGAAGCGAUUCUGGACCACCAUACGCCGCCUCAGGAAGGGGAAGCAGUGCACUAUCAACACCGUGUAUGGUGCGGAUGGUGUUCUGCUGACUUCGACUGCGGAUGUUGUGGAUCGUUGGAGGGAAUACUUCGAAGACCUCCUCAAUCCCACCAACACGUCUUCCUUUGAGGAAGCGGUGCCUGGGGAAUCUGGUUGGCUCUCCUAUUUCUGGGGCUGAGGUUGCGGAGGUAGUUAAAAAACUCUUCGGCGGCAAGGCCCCGGGGGUAGAUGAGAUCAAUCAAUCAAUCAAUCAAUCAAUCAAUCAAUGUUUAUUUAUAUAGCUCCAAAUCACAAAUGUCUCAAAGGACUGCACAAAUCUUUACGACUACGACAUCCUCGGAAGAACCCACAAACGGGCAAGGAAAACUCACACCCAGUGGGCAGGGAGAAUUCACAUCCAGUGGGACGCCAGUGACAAUGCUGACUAUGAGAAACCUCUAGGGGACUGAAAGCAAUGGAUGUCGAGCGGGUCUAACAUAAUACUGUGAAAGUUCAAUCCAUAGUGGCUCCAACACAGCCGCGAGAGUUCAGUUCAAGGCGGAUCCAAGACAGCAGCGAGAGACGGUGGUAACGAACUGCUCUCAGAGAGACGUGAAGGCUAAAGGCUGAGUGACACACAGCAGUCGGCACACAGAUGCUUUGUGCACUGGAACACAGAGAGAUGUCUCCAUCGCUGAGGGACCUCAUCACACUUGGACAUUUCUUUCACAUCUGCACAAAUUGCUCCUCAUCUUACAUGAUGUCUCCUUUGGGUGACACCUUCAAUCUGCAUUUUUCAACAAUAUUUUGCCAGUGAAUCAUGUUGAUGUUGAUCUUUGUGUCCAUGUAGUUGUGAUGUCAUCAUUUGGGGCUCAUGUGCCAUCCCAUUGACAAGGUUUUCUUCUUUCCUUUUCAAACCAAUAGACAGCUGCUUAUCAGUGAAUGUCACCUUGUGUCACAUCUCAUCAUUAUUUUUAUAAAUAUUUUGGAACAAUAAUACCAUUUUAAGUACUUUUGUAUGUUAAUGUCAAUUAUUUUUAUGUAACAUUUAAGAAUGAUGAUUUUGAGAACUGCUGUCCAGUUGUUAUAUCUUGUUUUUUCGAUUACAUUAGUCUCAUUUGCAUGGCACUUGCACUUCCGAGACCAUUAGAUGGCAGCACUGUAUAACUAUUUAUGGUAUGUUGUCAAACUAGAAAGUAGCUUUUUUUCAGGAAGAUGAAUUUGUUAGGUUGCGCCCUACAAAGUGUCAAUACUGUAAGAAUAGUUCUUAUUACAUAAAAUUGUAACAUUUUAACUAUAAUAUUAGUUGUCGUUUCCUUUACCAAAUUCCAAGGUGUGGAAAUCGCCAUGUAAAACCCCUCAUGCUAAAAAUAGCCUGUAUAUGGCAAAUCCUAUGUAAAUUAGCAAUAAGCUAGCGCAUUUUGGAAGAGUGUCGCAUUACUUUGCGUUUGAGCUGUUUUUUAUUAAGCACACUGUGUUGGUGUUGAAAAGUGCAACAUGACUUUGAGGGAGUUUGGCUGAGUCCGGCCUGAGUGCUGCUUCAGUGAAUGUUUACGUGAGCCCGUGUUUAGUCUGAAAGCAGACAUGACCAGUCUGAAACCGGACAUGACGUCACAUGAAACAAAGGUAUCGAACUAUGGCACCCUUUGAUUUUACGUGAAUUGAUAGUAACAGGGGAAUUUGGUCAUUACCUACAAAAGUACUGAAUUCGGUACCCAACCCUACUAGUUAGUGUAACACAAUAUUUUUAUGACAAGGCGUUGCAAAAUAUUUAUAUUUUUUUAAAACCUUUGCUGUUUUUUCCGUUCUUUUUUGCAUUGUCAUAUUUUUGCUUGAUUGCCAAACAUGCAGAGGAUGUCAUUUGGGAAGUAAACAAGGUAGGCCGUUCAUAUACUCUUAAUAUUCAGUGUUUAAUGUGUACAAUGUUUCAUGUACAUUCUGGGUGUUUUAUUCAGUAUAAACUUGUCAAAUACAA